This 73-nucleotide transfer RNA is filed under the name Eubacterium ramulus. Its description in RNAcentral is "tRNA-Lys". It matches the Rfam family "tRNA". Rfam says of the family: Transfer RNA (tRNA) molecules are approximately 80 nucleotides in length. Their secondary structure includes four short double-helical elements and three loops (D, anti-codon, and T loops). Further hydrogen bonds mediate the characteristic L-shaped molecular structure. tRNAs have two regions of fundamental functional importance: the anti-codon, which is responsible for specific mRNA codon recognition, and the 3' end, to which the tRNAs corresponding amino acid is attached (by aminoacyl-tRNA synthetases). tRNAs cope with the degeneracy of the genetic code in two manners: having more than one tRNA (with a specific anti-codon) for a particular amino acid; and 'wobble' base-pairing, i.e. permitting non-standard base-pairing at the 3rd anti-codon position. The record is from RNAcentral. Lineage: Bacteria; Bacillati; Bacillota; Clostridia; Eubacteriales; Eubacteriaceae.
GCGCCUUUAGCUCAGUUGGUAGAGCAGUAGACUCUUAAUCUAUUUGUCCAGGGUUCGAAUCCCUGAAGACGCA